UCAACUUGUACAUAAAUGGGAAACUUCCCUCUUCUUCUCCAUUGCAAUCCCAAGAAGCCCCAACCACCGUGGCGCUUUAUUCUCUCGCCUGAGCGCUUCACCGGUGGCAGACGGUGUCGUGAUUCCUAUCAUCCUAACCUUCACAUCAUCUCUCUAGAGAAGCUGAGAUGGGGCAGAGCAUGAGCUGUGGAACGAGACCGGAGCACGGUAUAUUCGCCUCCGUGCAGUGCGGCGACAUCGUCACUGUGCGUCGAGUGAUGACUUCGGAUCCGAGUCUGUUGCAUCAGACCACUCCUUAUGAUCGUCACUCCGUUCUUCACGUCGCCGCUGCUAGUGGCCAGAUCGAGAUUUUGACCUUGCUUUUGGAACGAUUUGAGAAUCCAGAUGUGUUGAAUCGUCACAAGCAGACUCCGUUAAUGUUGGCUGCUAUGUAUGGAAGGAUCUCUUGCGUGAAGAAGCUCGCUGAAGUUGGAGCUAAUGUUUUGAUGUUUGAUUCUGUCAAUAGAAGAACAUGCUUGCACUACGCAGCUUACUAUGGACACGCUGAUUGUGUUCAAGCCAUUCUCUCCGCUGCUCAAUCCAGUCCCGUUGCUGUUCAUUGGGGAUAUGCUAGAUUUGUGAAUAUUAGAGAUGACAAAGGAGCAACACCGUUGCAUCUAGCUGCCAGGCAAAGACGGCCUGAAUGUGUGAAUGUUCUGUUGGAUAGUGGUUCUCUUGUUUGUGCUAAUACUAGCCUAUAUGGGUCUCCAGGGAGCACACCUCUUCAUUUGGCAGCAAGAAGCGGAUCUAUCGAUUGCGUCAGAAAAUUGCUUGCUUGGGGUGCUGACCGUCUUCAAAGAGACACUUCUGGGCGGAUACCCUAUGUUGUUGCCAUGAAACACAAGCACGGGGCAUGUGGAGCGUUGCUUAACCCGUCUUCUGCAGAGCCACUGGUCUGGCCAUCUCCUUUAAAGUUCAUCAGCGAGCUUAAUGACGAGGCAAAACUGCUCUUAGAACAGGCACUGAUGGAUGCUAACAGAGAGAGAGAGGAAACCAUUCUCAAAGGAACUGCUUACUCACCAUCUUUCUCUGGCACCGCCUCAGGUGAUAACAUGUCUGAGAUGAGUGACUCGGAACUCUGUUGCAUUUGCUUUGAGCAAGUAUGCACUAUUGAAGUCAAAGACUGUGGUCACCAAAUGUGUGCGCAAUGCACACUUGCACUGUGCUGUCACAACAAACCUAACCCAACGACCUCAACCGUGACACCACCGGUGUGCCCGUUCUGUAGAAGUGUCAUCGUACGGUUAGUCGUCGCCCAGAACAACAACAACGACAAGAGCAAGAGCCAAUAUGAAGUUGUUGAUCAUGAGGCAGGUGAUGUAAACUCCUCAAAACUCAGAAAGCAUAGAAGAUCGAUAAACCUUGGCGAAGAAAGUAGCAGUUUCAUGGGUCUUUCAAGCAUUGGAUCGUUCGGAAGGAUAACCGGCCGUAGCUCGGGAAGGAUCGCAGCCGACAACGAGCUGAUGAACCCAUUUUGUGAGGAUCGGGUCCACAUAUCAGUAAGGGGUGAAUGUUUAAAAGAUAGAUGAAAUUUAUUAUGUAGAUUGAAAUAAGGAAAAAUGGCGUUGAAUUAUGUAAUGCAAUGAUUUGUUGUUUCUUUGAUAAGUUUGUCAAAAAAGGAAUUUGUUUGUUGUUAUUAUUUGGUCACUUUUAUUGUAUGAAAGGUAAUUUGAUAAAUCUUCUCUUUUGUCUCA
Brassica oleracea var. oleracea is the source of this 1733-nucleotide RNA transcript. It is a transcript of the gene named putative E3 ubiquitin-protein ligase XBAT31, with no coding region annotated. The record is from RefSeq and is a predicted model, not a curated record. The transcript is spliced from 8 exons. Lineage: Eukaryota; Viridiplantae; Streptophyta; Magnoliopsida; Brassicales; Brassicaceae.